GGAAAGCAAUUGGAAGAUGGACGCACACUCUCUGAUUACAAUAUUCAGAAAGAGUCUACUCUCCACUUGGUGCUCCGCCUCAGAGGAGGUAUGCAGAUCUUCGUCAAGACAUUGACUGGAAAGACCAUCACACUUGAAGUCGAAGCUUCCGACACGAUCGAAAAUGUCAAGGCUAAGAUUCAAGAUAAAGAAGGAAUCCCACCAGAUCAGCAAAGACUUAUCUUCGCCGGAAAGCAGCUCGAGGACGGCCGCACCCUUUCGGACUACAACAUCCAGAAGGAAUCAACUCUUCAUUUGGUUCUCCGUUUGAGAGGAGGUAUGCAGAUCUUCGUCAAGACAUUGACCGGAAAGACCAUCACCCUCGAAGUCGAAGCCUCCGACACCAUCGAAAAUGUCAAGGCCAAGAUCCAAGACAAGGAAGGAAUUCCACCAGAUCAGCAGAGACUUAUUUUUGCUGGUACGUUGGCAAAAUAUCUAAUAUUUGACCUAAAAUUUAUUAUAUAUUUUCAGGAAAGCAACUCGAGGAUGGCCGUACCCUUUCGGACUACAAUAUCCAGAAGGAAUCAACCCUCCAUUUGGUGCUCCGCCUAAGAGGAGGAAUGCAGAUCUUCGUCAAGACUUUGACCGGAAAGACUAUUACUCUUGAGGUUGAAGCUUCUGACACUAUUGAGAACGUGAAGGCCAAGAUCCAAGACAAGGAAGGUAUCCCACCAGAUCAACAGCGUUUGAUCUUUGCCGGAAAGCAACUCGAGGAUGGCCGUACUCUCUCCGAUUACAACAUCCAAAAGGAGUCUACUCUUCAUUUGGUUCUCCGUCUCCGAGGAGGAAUGCAAAUCUUCGUCAAGACUCUUAUCGGAAAGACCAUCACCCUCGAAGUCGAAGCCUCCGAUACCAUCGAGAACGUGAAGGCCAAGAUUCAGGACAAGGAAGGAAUUCCUCCAGAUCAGCAACGUCUCAUCUUCGCUGGAAAGCAGCUCGAAGACGGCCGCACCCUUUCGGACUACAACAUCCAGAAGGAAUCAACUCUUCAUUUGGUUCUCCGUUUGAGAGGAGGUAUGCAAAUCUUCGUGAAGACUUUGACUGGAAAGACUAUCACCCUCGAAGUCGAAGCCUCUGAUACCAUCGAAAAUGUGAAGGCCAAGAUCCAAGACAAGGAAGGAAUCCCACCAGAUCAGCAGCGUCUUAUCUUUGCCG
Molecule: small RNA, 1194 nt
Filed under: Caenorhabditis elegans
Lineage: Eukaryota; Metazoa; Nematoda; Chromadorea; Rhabditida; Rhabditidae
Description: Unclassified non-coding RNA F25B5.12
Source: RNAcentral